Molecule: ribosomal RNA, 525 nt
Filed under: Staphylococcus pseudintermedius
Lineage: Bacteria; Bacillati; Bacillota; Bacilli; Caryophanales; Staphylococcaceae
Description: partial 23S ribosomal RNA
Rfam family: Bacterial large subunit ribosomal RNA
Source: RNAcentral
UUGGAAAUCAUUCAUAGAGUGUAAAGGCAUAAGGGAGCUUGACUGCGAGACCUACAAGUCGAGCAGGGUCGAAAGACGGACUUAGUGAUCCGGUGGUUCCGCAUGGAAGGGCCAUCGCUCAACGGAUAAAAGCUACCCCGGGGAUAACAGGCUUAUCUCCCCCAAGAGUUCACAUCGACGGGGAGGUUUGGCACCUCGAUGUCGGCUCAUCGCAUCCUGGGGCUGUAGUCGGUCCCAAGGGUUGGGCUGUUCGCCCAUUAAAGCGGUACGCGAGCUGGGUUCAGAACGUCGUGAGACAGUUCGGUCCCUAUCCGUCGUGGGCGUAGGAAAUUUGAGAGGAGCUGUCCUUAGUACGAGAGGACCGGGAUGGACAUACCUCUGGUGUACCAGUUGUCGUGCCAACGGCAUAGCUGGGUAGCUAUGUAUGGACGGGAUAAGUGCUGAAAGCAUCUAAGCAUGAAGCCCCCCUCGAGAUGAGAUUUCCCAACUUCGGUUAUAAGAUCCCUCAAAGAUGAUGAGGUGAAU